UACGUAGGGUGCGAGCGUUGUCCGGAAUUAUUGGGCGUAAAGGGCUCGUAGGCGGUCUGUCGCGUCGGGAGUGAAAACUCAGGGCUUAACCCUGAGCCUGCUUCCGAUACGGGCAGACUAGAGGUAUGCAGGGGAGAACGGAAUUCCUGGUGUAGCGGUGAAAUGCGCAGAUAUCAGGAGGAACACCAGUGGCGAAGGCGGGUUGCUGGGCCGACACUGACGCUGAGGCGCGAAAGCUAGGGGAGCGAACGGG
This 253-nucleotide ribosomal RNA is filed under the name uncultured bacterium. RNAcentral describes it as "partial 16S ribosomal RNA". It matches the Rfam family "Bacterial small subunit ribosomal RNA", at positions 524 to 776 of the family's 1533-position model. The record is from RNAcentral.